Molecule: long non-coding RNA, 979 nt
Filed under: Ananas comosus (pineapple)
Lineage: Eukaryota; Viridiplantae; Streptophyta; Magnoliopsida; Poales; Bromeliaceae
Description: long non-coding RNA (ACOM_LNC005551)
Source: RNAcentral
AGUAGUGAUUAUUGUUAAGGAAUUUAUAGGUUGGCGAAUUUCGUAAAGUUGAUUGGAGUCUUGAAGAAUUGAUCGCGGAAGUUUUGAAGAAAAGUUUCAAAUUGAAGAACAAAGAUCCAUUCAUAAAGUUCGGCACCUAAGGUAUGGAGAGAAGAUCAUUUGUGGUGAAGAUACUUAACUGGAAUAAGUUCAGAAGGCUUAGAUUGCUUUAAAACGAUUUUACUGAACUUUUCUGUGUUCUGGGACCGGUCCCUGAGUUAGAGAGACCGGUUCCCCUAAGGUCCUCACUGCGUGAGUUUUGAUGCAACCGGUCCCCUGAGAUGAGAGACCGGUUCCCGAACCUUGGUAAUUCUGUCGCGCAGCGAGGGACCGGUCUCAAGCUUGAGAGACCAGUUCCAGAACAUUGUGUUUUUGAACACGCAGCGAAGGACCGGUUCCUCACUUGAGAGACCGGUCUCUCACAGACCGGUCUCCUCAGGAGGACCGGUCUCUGAGGACGACACAGGUUUUUAAAAAAGGACUUUUUGCAAUCCUAGUCUGCUUCUAAGUCUUCUAAACAUAUAAAUAAGCUAUGGGGGUCAUCUAAAAACUUGAGGCUUUGAAUUUCUACUUAUUCCAAACCCUAGAAACUUGUUUUUCCCGUUCUUAUGGUUUGAUUCUAAUAACAAGUUUCUAACAAUCAACAAUCGACUUGAUUCUUCAUUUUUACUCGAGAAAUCAUACGAGAAUCAAGUAGAUGUUUGAUUAAAGGUAGACCCUCAGUGCUUAUGGGAUUCUAAAGCUUAAUCACCACAAUUCUUCGUUUCGACAAGCUCCGGAAGGAGAUUCGGCGCGUGGAGUUCGCGUGUAGCCGAGGAUUCGGUGGACGAUUCGUGGAGUUGAGGCGUUGAUGCUGCGAGGAGUUGCAGCGAGAUCGAUUCGAGGAUUCCCAUCGAUCGAGGACCGGUGAAGAUCACUAUCUACGGGAAAUCGGUAAAUU